GGUACCCGUGGCCUGGGAGAUCGCGGCGGCGCUGGCGGCGCCGCUGGAUGUCCUGGUGGUCCGGGCACUCCGGGCGCCG
This 79-nucleotide transfer RNA is filed under the name Nocardia wallacei. Its description in RNAcentral is "tRNA-Ala". Lineage: Bacteria; Bacillati; Actinomycetota; Actinomycetes; Mycobacteriales; Nocardiaceae. The record is from RNAcentral.